GACCGAGCAGUCCUGUGUAAUCCACGGAGCCCUAACUCUGUAAACAUUCAUUUGUUGAUGUGGCUAGUCUUGACAGGUUGUUAAUCUUGGGCUGCGUAGUCUGUCCAAGGUUUUUUUCCCUUCACUUUGACUUAAUUGCACUUGCUUUCUGUGUGGACAACUUGGUGUGCCAGAAAAAUUACAUGGCUUGUCCAGGCAAGAAAAUUUCGCUGGCAACCUUUCAUUUAUUUUUCUUAUUUUUUUCUUGUUCAUUUUACAUUUUGCAUCCAGUCCCACAAUUCUGAUAUUUCUCACUCCAUAAUUCUUCUAUUUAUGUCAACUAACUUGCCAUUUAGUGGGUACAGCAGGACACUGUGGAAUGCAGUCACUUGAGGCAGCCGACAUAUCUCUGUGAUGCAUCCACUCCUCCUACAGCGCAUUCAAGAAGUUGCGUGUUUGGACUUUGCUAGGAAUUCAGCUCAUGAGAUCCUUCUCAGAAAGCAUCCACUUGUGUCCUUUGUUGGAUGACAGAUCAGUUUGAUUUACCAGUGAUUUACUGUUGUGGUGGUGAUGUGACUGUGUUUACUGACUGCCAGCUUUGCUUCUUCUGUCUGGAACAAGUGUAAUGGCAAGUUUAUUUGCUGCCCUGUCAAUCCAUUCAAAUCAUGACAAUAAAGAAAAUGGAAACA
Molecule: long non-coding RNA, 668 nt
Filed under: Dermacentor andersoni
Lineage: Eukaryota; Metazoa; Arthropoda; Arachnida; Ixodida; Ixodidae
Description: uncharacterized LOC126528224
Source: RNAcentral